AUUGAACGCUGGCGGCAGGCCUAACACAUGCAAGUCGAGCGGAUGAAGGGAGCUUGCUCCUGGAUUCAGCGGCGGACGGGUGAGUAAUGCCUAGGAAUCUGCCUGGUAGUGGGGGAUAACGUCCGGAAACGGGCGCUAAUACCGCAUACGUCCUGAGGGAGAAAGUGGGGGAUCUUCGGACCUCACGCUAUCAGAUGAGCCUAGGUCGGAUUAGCUAGUUGGUGGGGUAAAGGCCUACCAAGGCGACGAUCCGUAACUGGUCUGAGAGGAUGAUCAGUCACACUGGAACUGAGACACGGUCCAGACUCCUACGGGAGGCAGCAGUGGGGAAUAUUGGACAAUGGGCGAAAGCCUGAUCCAGCCAUGCCGCGUAUGUGAAGAAGGUCUUCGGAUUGUAAAGCACUUUAAGUUAGGAGGAAGGGCAGUAAGUUAAUACCUUGCUGUUUUGACGUUACCAACAGAAUAAGCACCGGCUAACUUCGUG
RNAcentral lists this ribosomal RNA (484 nucleotides) under uncultured bacterium. RNAcentral's name for it is "partial 16S ribosomal RNA". It matches the Rfam family "Bacterial small subunit ribosomal RNA", at positions 30 to 507 of the family's 1533-position model. The record is from RNAcentral.